Long non-coding RNA from Rosa rugosa (rugosa rose), 725 nucleotides. RefSeq lists it as uncharacterized. The record is from RefSeq and is a predicted model, not a curated record. The transcript is spliced from 2 exons. Lineage: Eukaryota; Viridiplantae; Streptophyta; Magnoliopsida; Rosales; Rosaceae.
CGGUGGAAGCAAUUUUUUCAUUCUAGCCGGUCAACACAUCAUCAAAAUGACAUGGCAGCUGGGCAAAAGAGAACCGGUGGACUUGCUCUAAGUGUUUGGUCAGCUUUCUCCAGAAGCUGCUGUGGCUUCCGUCGAAAAGCAGAAGCGGCCUCCCCCUUGCUUUUAAAAGCCAGAAGCCAGGAAAUCACUGUGGCGCUGGUUACUGUAGAUUAAUGAAAUUUUGAUAAUACCGGUCUCUAUCCUCCCUUGGUUGAGGCAAUUACUUGAUUGCCAUUAAACCCUUCUUGAUGCCGCAGCAAUCUCUCUCCCUCUCAUCACAGACGCUGCGUCAAUCUCUGAUCACAGACGCCCCAUCAAUCUCUCUCCCUCUGACGCCGCCUCAUCUAGCCUUUCAUCACAAUUUUGGGUUGGAAAUCGAAGCCUCACUCAAGCAAGGCUGCUUGGCGAUUUGAUUCAGGUGACCUUGGAGUUCUUGGAACUGGAAUACCAAUAGGAAAACUUGAUAUGUAUGUUGCUGCAGCUGGUAUUAAUUCAGAGUCAUUGGGAGAUCAAGCGGAAUACCAAGCAACGCAGCAAGUUAUAUUAUCUUUCAUCAUGUAAAACUUAGCUAGGAAACUUGAAAAUUGAAAUGUAUGAAUGCAAUAACAAUGUUCCUUAAAUUCAGUAUUUGAUAAAUUGAUGUAUCACAAGGCUUUUGGUACAAAUAUUGAUCAUGGUUUGCAUUC